AUGAACGCUGGCGGCGUGCCUAAUACAUGCAAGUCGAGCGAACGGACGAGAAGCUUGCUUCUCUGAUGUUAGCGGCGGACGGGUGAGUAACACGUGGAUAACCUACCUAUAAGACUGGGAUAACUUCGGGAAACCGGAGCUAAUACCGGAUAAUAUUUUGAACCGCAUGGUUCGAAAGUGAAAGACGGUCUUGCUGUCACUUAUAGAUGGAUCCGCGCUGCAUUAGCUAGUUGGUAAGGUAACGGCUUACCAAGGCAACGAUGCAUAGCCGACCUGAGAGGGUGAUCGGCCACACUGGAACUGAGACACGGUCCAGACUCCUACGGGAGGCAGCAGUAGGGAAUCUUCCGCAAUGGGCGAAAGCCUGACGGAGCAACGCCGCGUGAGUGAUGAAGGUCUUCGGAUCGUAAAACUCUGUUAUUAGGGAAGAACAUAUGUGUAAGUAACUGUGCACAUCUUGACGGUACCUAAUCAGAAAGCCACGGCUAACUACGUG
Molecule: ribosomal RNA, 496 nt
Filed under: uncultured bacterium
Lineage: Bacteria
Description: partial 16S ribosomal RNA
Rfam family: Bacterial small subunit ribosomal RNA
Source: RNAcentral